AAUGCGCUAAGUAAUGUGAAUUGCAGAAUUCAGUGAAUCAUCGAAUCUUUGAACGCACCUUGCGCUCCUUGGUAUUCCUUGGAGCAUGCCUGUUUGAGUAUCAUGAAAUCUUCAAAGUAAAUCUUUUGUUAACUCAAUUGGUUUCUACUUUGGUAUUGGAGGUCUUUGCAGCUUCACACCUGCUCCUCUUUGUUCAUUAGCUGGAUCUCAGUGUUAUGCUUGGUUCCACUCGGCGUGAUAAGUUAUCUAUCGCUGAGGACACUGUAAAAGGUGGCCAAGGUAAAUGCAGAUGAACCGCUUCUAAUAGUCCAUUGACUUGGACAAUACUUUUAUGAUCUGAUCUCAAAUUAGGUAGGACUACCCGCUGAACUUAAGC
This 376-nucleotide unclassified non-coding RNA is filed under the name plant metagenome. RNAcentral's name for it is "partial contains 5.8S ribosomal RNA, internal transcribed spacer 2, and large subunit ribosomal RNA". The stretch from base 1 to 103 matches the Rfam family "5.8S ribosomal RNA", at positions 52 to 154 of the family's 154-position model. The record is from RNAcentral.